AUGACAGAACUGCCGGAGGUGGAAGCAGCGCGGCGGGCGCUGGAGGCGCACUGCGUGGGCCACCCCAUCACGCGCUGCGCCGUCGCGGACGACUCCAAGUCCAAGCUCGUCGCCGCCGCCGCCGGGGUAAGAACCAUGGUGGGCAGGACCAUCGUGGCCGCGCGCCGGAGGGGCAAGAACCUCUGGCUCUGCCUCGACGCCCCGCCCUUCCCCUCCUUCCAGUUCGCGAUGGCAGGUGCGAUCUACAUAAAGGGCGUUGCCAUCACAAAGUACAAGAGGCAAGUGCUCUUUUCCGUUUGGUAUCUCACCUUGGAAGUUGCGAACAUAUUAUCAGCUGUCAACUCCGAGGACGAGUGGCCGUCCAAGUACUCCAAGUUUUUCGUUGAGCUUGAUGGCUUGGAGUUUUCCUUCACUGAUAAGAGGCGCUUUGCAAGAGUUCGGUUAUUUGAUUAUGUAUGUGCAAUUCGCUCACUCAAUUGUUGUUGGCAUCCUGAAACUGUACCUCCAAUUUCUGAGCUAGGUCCGGAUGCUCUCUUUGAGCCGAUGUCCGUUGACAAUUUUGUGGACUCACUGACCAAGAAGAAGAUUGGAAUAAAAGCCCUUUUACACUAUCAGAGCUUCAUACAAGGCAUUGGUAAUUGGAUUGCACACGAGGUGCUUUACCAGAUUGCUUCAAGCCUAACAAGGGAGAGUUGUGAAGCAAUACACCAAAGCAGCCAAGAGGUUGUGAAAUAUGCUGUUGAUGUUGAUGCUGAUUGUGAUCCCUUUCCUGUGGAAUGGUUGUUUCAUCACCGCUGGGGCAAGAAGCCUGGAAAGAACAUUGAAUUCAUAACAGCUGGUGGCAGACUACAGCCUAUAUAUGUGCCACAACUACAGAAGCUGUCUGGGACCCAAUCUAACAAAAAGGUAGUGGCUAGCCCAGGGCAAGUGAGUGAGGAUGGUGAUGCCAAGGAAGCAAGGGUAGAAGGAGAAGAUGAUGACAAUUUGAAGCCAAGAAAGAGGGUGGCAACAUUCCGGGCUGUCAGGGGACAGCAAAACAAGGAUACCAUAAGUGCCCCCUCCAAAAAAAAAACAAGGAAAAUCUGGUGGCUAGAAGAAACCAAGCAUUAA
RNAcentral lists this ribosomal RNA (1110 nucleotides) under Triticum aestivum (bread wheat). RNAcentral's name for it is "partial small subunit ribosomal RNA". The record is from RNAcentral. Lineage: Eukaryota; Viridiplantae; Streptophyta; Magnoliopsida; Poales; Poaceae.